UACGGUGACUAUUGCAUUAGGGUCCACCUCUUCCCAUUCCGAACAGAGAAGUUAAGCCUAGUUGCGCAGAUGGUACUAGGGUAAUACCUGGGAGAGUAUGUCGUUGCCACUU
RNAcentral lists this ribosomal RNA (112 nucleotides) under Flavobacteriales bacterium. The record is from RNAcentral. Lineage: Bacteria; Pseudomonadati; Bacteroidota; Flavobacteriia; Flavobacteriales.